This 500-nucleotide ribosomal RNA is filed under the name uncultured bacterium. Its description in RNAcentral is "partial 16S ribosomal RNA". It matches the Rfam family "Bacterial small subunit ribosomal RNA", at positions 30 to 523 of the family's 1533-position model. The record is from RNAcentral.
AUUGAACGCUGGCGGCAGGCCUAACACAUGCAAGUCGAGCGGAUGAGAGGAGCUUGCUCCUCGAUUCAGCGGCGGACGGGUGAGUAAUGCCUAGGAAUCUGCCUAGUAGUGGGGGACAACGUUUCGAAAGGAACGCUAAUACCGAAUACGUCCUACGGGAGAAAGUGGGGGAUCUUCGGACCUCACGCUAUUAGAUGAGCCUAGGUCGGAUUAGCUAGUUGGUAGGGUAAAGGCCUACCAAGGCGACGAUCCGUAACUGGUCUGAGAGGAUGAUCAGUCACACUGGAACUGAGACACGGUCCAGACUCCUACGGGAGGCAGCAGUGGGGAAUAUUGGACAAUGGGCGCAAGCCUGAUUCAGCCAUGCCGCGUGUGUGAAGAAGGCCCUCGGGUCGUAAAGCACUUUAAGUUGGGAGGAAGGGCUUACAGCGAAUACCUGUGAGUUUUGACAUUACCGACAGAAUAAGCACCGGCUAACUUCGUGCCAGCCGCCGCCGAAA